CUUUGAGAUGAGCCUGACUAGAUAGCACAUACUGUGAUUUUACAGGAUAAAGAAUUGUACGCUGGACAUGUAACUUUCAAGUUGGCUUUUCCCUUGGGCUUAGAAUCAAUUACUGUAGUGUUUGAAAUGAAGGAUGUAUAAUUAUCUGGAGGUUUAACCAAGGUUCUUUGCAUAUUAGAAAGUACUUAGUAGGACCAACCCUGUUUCCCCCUUUGGUUUGUUUAGAAGACUUGCACUAUCUGCCAGAUGCUGCUUCCUAACCAGUGCAGUUAUGCAUCACACCAGAGAAUCCAUCAGCACAAAUCUCCCUACACCUGCCCUGAGUGUGGGGCCAUCUGCAGGUCGGUGCACUUCCAGACCCACGUCACCAAGAACUGUCUGCACUACACGAGGAGAGUUGGUUUUCGAAUAAUAUAUAAGUGUUCCAUGUGCGACACUGUGUUCACCCUGCAAACCUUGCUGUAUCGCCACUUUGACCAACACAUUGAAAACCAGAAGGUGUCUGUUUUCAAGUGUCCAGACUGUUCUCUUUU
This 533-nucleotide long non-coding RNA is filed under the name Pan troglodytes (chimpanzee). RNAcentral's name for it is "long non-coding RNA NONPTRT007568". Lineage: Eukaryota; Metazoa; Chordata; Mammalia; Primates; Hominidae. The record is from RNAcentral.